This 590-nucleotide long non-coding RNA is filed under the name Zonotrichia albicollis (white-throated sparrow). Its description in RNAcentral is "lncRNA (ENSZALG00000006040.1)". Lineage: Eukaryota; Metazoa; Chordata; Aves; Passeriformes; Passerellidae. The record is from RNAcentral.
AUAUUAGUUUUUUAAGAUCUAAUUUUACCAAGAGAGAAGUAUGCUGUUCCCAAGGGAGUUCUCUGUGCAGACUGCAGCUACUGAAACCCUUUUCUCUAAGUUGUACACUGGAUGUGCUUUUGCAUUUUCUGCAUACCAGUGAUGGCAGACAACCUGUGGAAACACCUGCCCACGCAUCACAGCCGUGCCAAACCUGCCUUUGGCAGAUACUUCCCCACUCACACAGCAGAACCAGCUGCUACCAGAGUCCAGGUGCACCAAAUCCUCAUUCCAGUGAGUGAAAACCGAGGUAGGAAGGGAUCCCCGAAGAGGAGCAUUCCUUGAGACCAUCAACAGCAUUAAUUCAGUGCACUGGAGUCCUUGGAACUGGUAUCCUGGAACACCAUUGCCUAUCAAUUUUCUGAGGAUUCUCUUGACACCAGGAGAGCUGUUAUAUUUAGAUGCUUAUCUGCUUUUGACUGCAGUGCAGUGCUUGCGAAGAUGUCUUUCAUUUUGAGGCUUAACACAUUAAAUAUCACCUGAUCUGAAGAUGUUUGAGGGUGUAGAGCCUGUGGCAUAGAAUAAAUGUCUUGUCUAAAAAUAGCGUUACA